GACGAACGCUGGCGGCGUGCUUAACACAUGCAAGUCGAGCGGAAAGGCCCUUUCGGGGGUACUCGAGCGGCGAACGGGUGAGUAACACGUGAGUAAUCUGCCCUUGGCUUUGGGAUAACCACCGGAGACGGCGGCUAAUACCGGAUAUGACGGGCUCCGGCAUCGGGGUUCGUGGAAAGUUUUUCGGCCAGGGAUGUGCUCGCGGCCUAUCAGCUUGUUGGUGGGGUAAUGGCCUACCAAGGCUUCGACGGGUAGCCGGCCUGAGAGGGUGACCGGCCACACUGGGACUGAGACACGGCCCAGACUCCUACGGGAGGCAGCAGUGGGAAUAUUGGACAAUGGGCGGAAGCCUGAUCCAGCAACGCCGCGUGAGGGAUGACGGCCU
Molecule: ribosomal RNA, 385 nt
Filed under: uncultured bacterium
Lineage: Bacteria
Description: bacterial SSU rRNA
Rfam family: Bacterial small subunit ribosomal RNA
Source: RNAcentral